GCGAGAGUGGCGGAACUGGCAGACGCGCAGGGCUUAGGACCCUGUGUCCGUUGAGGACGUGGAGGUUCGACUCCUCUCUCUCGC
This 84-nucleotide transfer RNA is filed under the name Sedimentisphaerales bacterium. RNAcentral's name for it is "tRNA-Leu". It matches the Rfam family "tRNA". From Rfam's summary of the family: Transfer RNA (tRNA) molecules are approximately 80 nucleotides in length. Their secondary structure includes four short double-helical elements and three loops (D, anti-codon, and T loops). Lineage: Bacteria; Pseudomonadati; Planctomycetota; Phycisphaerae; Sedimentisphaerales. The record is from RNAcentral.